Molecule: unclassified non-coding RNA, 946 nt
Filed under: Streptococcus pneumoniae
Lineage: Bacteria; Bacillati; Bacillota; Bacilli; Lactobacillales; Streptococcaceae
Description: partial contains 16S ribosomal RNA, 16S-23S ribosomal RNA intergenic spacer, and 23S ribosomal RNA
Rfam family: Bacterial small subunit ribosomal RNA (bases 1-136)
Source: RNAcentral
CGAAUACAAGGUUGGUCGUUGUACACCCGAGUCGUGAGGUAACCGUGAGGGGCAGCCGCCUAAGGUGGGAUAGAUGAUUGGGGUGAAGUCGUAACAAGGUAGCCGUAUCGGAAGGUGCGGCUGGAUCACCUCCUUUCUAAGGAUAAGGAACUGCGCAUUGGUCUUGUUUAGUCUUGAGAGGUCUUGUGGGGCCUUAGCUCAGCUGGGAGAGCGCCUGCUUUGACGCAGGAGGUCAGCGGUUCGAUCCCGCUAGGCUCCAUUGGUGAGAGAUCACCCAGUAAUGCACAUUGAAAAUUGAAUAUCUAUAUCAAAUAGUAACAAGAAAAUAAACCGAAAACGCUGUAGUAUUAAUAAGAGUUUAUGACUGAAAAGGUCAGAAAAUAAGGUUAAGUUAAUAAGGGCGCACGGUGGAUGCCUUGGCACUAGGAGCCGACGAAGGACGUGACAACGACGAUAUGCCUUGGGUAGCUGUAAGUAGCGAUGAUCCAGGGAUUUCCGAACGGGGAAAACCCACAAAGUUGGGGGAAAUUUUCCCACACCCGGGAGGGUGGUGUGUUCCCCCUUCCCUCCCCCCGACCCAAGCCCCCCCUCCGGCCGGUUUCGAAAUUUCCCUAUGUUCGUCUGACUUUCUAGAGAAUAAACUAAUGGGGGGUGCGGGGUGUGGUAUUUUUUGAUUUUGUUCUUGAACGGGUGUGAGGGAACGCGUUUAUUAUUUUUAAGGUGAAUGACUCACUUUUCGCGCCGCGGCAGGGCGCGCGCCUAACGUGAGCAGGUAUAUGUAGAAAAAGACAGGACGAUGCUCCUCCUGAUGAUUACGAGCCGUGUUUUAUGCGCAGCCGUGACUGUUUGUUAUGUUAUGUAGUAUCGGUCUUUUUUUUGCCCGCAUGCCCGCGGGUGCGGUGGCGAGUGACGAGCUUGAUGCAUGAUUCAGUACCACGGUCAAGGA